This 384-nucleotide ribosomal RNA is filed under the name uncultured bacterium. RNAcentral describes it as "bacterial SSU rRNA". It matches the Rfam family "Bacterial small subunit ribosomal RNA", at positions 31 to 417 of the family's 1533-position model. The record is from RNAcentral.
GAACGCUGGCGGCGUGCUUAACACAUGCAAGUCGAGCGGUAAGGCCCUUUCGGGGGUACACGAGCGGCGAACGGGUGAGUAACACGUGGGUGACCUGCCCUCAGCUCUGGGAUAAGCCUGGGAAACCGGGUCUAAUACCGGAUAUGACUCCAUGACGCAUGUUGUGGGGUGGAAAGCCUUGUGCGGCUGAGGAUGGGCCCGCGGCCUAUCAGCUUGUUGGUGGGGUGAUGGCCACCAAGGCGACGACGGGUAGCCGGCCUGAGAGGGCGACCGGCCACACUGGGACUGAGACACGGCCCAGACUCCUACGGGAGGCAGCAGUGGGGAAUCUUGCGCAAUGGGCGAAAGCCUGACGCAGCGACGCCGCGUGAGGGAUGACGGCCU